This 465-nucleotide ribosomal RNA is filed under the name uncultured bacterium. RNAcentral's name for it is "partial 16S ribosomal RNA". It matches the Rfam family "Bacterial small subunit ribosomal RNA", at positions 28 to 507 of the family's 1533-position model. The record is from RNAcentral.
GAUGAACGCUGGCGGCGUGCUUAACACAUGCAAGUCGAACGGAAAGGCUCCUGCUUGCAGGGGUACUCGAGUGGCGAACGGGUGAGUAACACGUGGGUGAUCUGCCCUGCACUUCGGGAUAAGCCUGGGAAACUGGGUCUAAUACCGGAUAGGACCACAUUUUGGAUGGUGUGGUGGAAAGUUUUUCGGUGUGGGAUGAGCUCGCGGCCUAUCAGCUUGUUGGUGGGGUAAUGGCCUACCAAGGCGUCGACGGGUAGCCGGCCUGAGAGGGUGUACGGCCACAUUGGGACUGAGAUACGGCCCAGACUCCUACGGGAGGCAGCAGUGGGGAAUAUUGCACAAUGGGCGCGAGCCUGAUGCAGCGACGCCGCGUGGGGGAUGACGGCCUUCGGGUUGUAAACUCCUUUCGCUAGGGACGAAGCGCAAGUGACGGUACCUGGAGAAGAAGCACCGGCUAACUACGUG